CAAAAAGAUAAAUUCAAUUCUGCAAAAGUCCAGAGCAGUGGUAAGACCAUGGCACCCUUCAAAAACAUUUCAGGUUACUCACAUCACCCCUUUUGUGACUUCCUGUCCCCUCCCAAAGUGUGCAUCACUGGCUAUGUGGCAGAGAUGCUGUGAAAUCAGAAUUUCAUUCCAUAUUAGCAAUCAUUGAAAAGGUUAAGCCUUAGAAACAACAAGAGAAAUGAAAAGAAGAAAUUGUUGUGAAUCUUCACUGGCCCCUAUAUGUACUCUCAGAGCCCUCUACAACUUGGAGAUUACAAAGAGAUGAGAGGAGAGGGCAGAUAAGUAUUGGUUUUCAUUUUUAAAUGCGUUUCUCUGAGGAUCAGAGGCUUUCUUAUUAUAUCUAUUUCACCUUCAAAAUGGCAUCGUGGAGUUCCCCGUAAAGGUUACUCAUGAAUCUGAGGAUUUGCCUUUCUGACUCAGAGUUUACUGGCAUUUGCUAAAUGUUUGGCUUUGUAUUCAUAUUUAACUUUGACUAUGAUGAGAGUAAGGCAUUGUCUCAUUUAUUAGAUAGCACUGGCUGGGCUGGAUUAAGGGUUGAAUCAUUUGACACUGGCCCCUGCAGCAGCUUGAGUCUUCUGAAAUGUUUUGCAGCCACAACCUGCUUCCAUCAGAUUGUAUUUCUGCCUGUCCUCGCUCUCUGGCCCCACAGAGUUGUCUGAGGUCAUGUGUUAGGUUAGCUGUCGGUGAGUGACCUCUUUCACCUCUCUCCAAACCCACCCUUUGCCUUUGCAGGUAGCCUGAGGCAUUCCCUCACUGAGAGGGUUCUGGAAACAUUAACUGCCCCCCAUGUCCCUCCUUCUUGGCUCUGUUUCUCUAAUUACCACAUUUGGGAAAACAGGGUAGAAGCGGAGCUGCUCCUCCAGUUGGGAACACUAAAAUAUUCCCUUCUAGGUCUUCAUGGAAAAGGUCAAGAAAUUAAUUUUAGAUGAAUAUCUUCACCUUCUUAGCCAGUUGCUGUAUUAAUGAUCUCAUGAGAGAUGGCUCCUUAAACUGGCCUUAACACAGGUCACAGAGGAGUAAGAAUGUGCUCUGUUUAAUGAGUCAAGAAUCAAAGCCCCUAAUAUUUUCUCACUGGCAUAUAGAUGCCAGAAAUCAUCAAGGAGUCAAGAACGAGAAAAAAAGCCUAGUGCCGUAUGCAGGGCCCUGUAUUCUGCUGAGAAGAUAAAAGGCCUCUGUGAGUCUAACCAUUUUUCUUUGUGCUUCAGGCUUUUUAUCCAUUUGGAGGAGCUAGCAUUAUAUUGAUUUUUUUCUUUUUUAAUUUUCUCAAAAUACAGAAGAAUUGAAAGAAUUGAAUAAUGAUCACAGUGUACUCACCACCAAAAUUUAACAUUAGGACAUAAUUACUACUAAUUUGCCUUUCUAGAUAGAUACCACUAUACUUGCUAGACAUUUCACAGUAAUAGCAAAUUCAUAUAAAGCCACAAUAUUAUUAUCACACCUAAGUAAAUAAAUAGCAGUUCUUUAUAAUAUCUAUGUUGUGUAUUUAUUCAUUCUUCCAAUUGUCUUGUCAAUACUUUUUAUAACUUUUUUCAACUAAUAUCCAAACAACUUUCCUAUGUUUUGUUUUCUCUCUUAAUCUAUGAAAGAGGUCCAACUUCUUUAUUUUUUUUUCAUGACAUUCUUUUUCUAAGAAACUCGAUAAAUUUUGUUGUAUCCUGUACCACAUUCUUCACUCUUCUGUUUUCUGAUGGUGAUUUUUAACUUGUCCCUUUAUCCUCUGUAUUUCCUGUAAACUGUAUGAUUAAUGUCAAAGCUUAAUCAAGACCAAGGAAGACUUUUUGGCAAGAAUACUUUAUAAAUAAUGCUGAGUACUUCAUAUACAUCUAUGUAAGAAGUUCAUGAUGUCAGAUUAUCCUACAUUCAGUGAUAGUAAAUUUAUUCAGUUGGUUGAGAUGAUGACUGCUACAUUUUGUCAUUAUAUGUGUUCCCCUUCAAUAUUAGCAAGCAAACUUUGGGGUAAUACUUCAGCAUUAUCAAAUUGUGACCUAGUUGUUUUAUACUCAUUGAUUAUUCUGGUUUUCUGAAUCAGUUAUUUCAUUGAUGGUUGCUGAGUAGUGAUUUUCUCUUGUUACCAUUUUUUCUACAUUGAUCUCUGGCAUUUUUUUUUUUUUGUAAUGAUGUUUUUCUGUCAACAUGAUAGAGGUGAACUUGGGUUCUUAUUGUAAAAUGAAGAAUACUGAUUCUUUUCAUUCAAGUAUUAAUUUUCAGAGAACAAAAUUGGGGUAAAAUCACCUCUAAAUAUAGCAUAUAUUCUAUAAAUGUUUAUAUUCUCUCUUUAUCUCUUGUAUCAAAAUGGACAGACUUUCUAAUGAGCAUCAUAUAAUCAGUUCUAGUCAUUAUUCUUUUUGAUGGCCAAAUUGUUUGAAGAGUUGAGAGCCUCUUAAAACUGGCUCCUAUGUCUUUUGCAUGUGUCCCUGCUGAUCUCUGUGAACUUCCUUGCUUUCCAGCAUUAGAUUCUGUGUUUACAUUACACUUUCCCUGACCCAAAUCUGGAAUUAGUCAUUUAUCCAAGGAGCCAUAUUUCCUUCUAUCAAUGAAUGGUAUUUAGAAGCCAGGAUAUGGAUGCUAGAAGUGUUCCCUAUUGCCUGGAAGCCACUGCUUCCAGAAACUCUCAGUGAACAGAACUGUGUGUGUGUGUGUGUGUGUGUGUGUGUGUGUGUGUGUGUGUGUAAAUGUACUUUUACAUUGUGAAUUCAUAUUUAAUACUUCAAAUAUUAGCCAAAAGUUUUUGAUAUUUUUCUCUUACACUAAUUUUUAGUAAGUUUAAGAUCCAUAUUGUUUCACUAAGACUUUUACAUUACUUAGUUUUUAAACAGAAUUAAAUGAUCUGAGAAGUGUGUCUCCUCUGUUUCUAGCUUCAGCCCUCUAAGCAAGACGAACUUUCACUGAGAUAUUUACCAGGUCUUUAAAAUUUAACUACUUUUAAAUGAAAAAAAAAAUAGUAUUAAAGUCUAUUUUUCAUAGUCAUAAUUCUAAGUAACUUUUUGAUCAACUUUCUCAUUUUAUUUAAGUGAAACUGGUUAUCUUGUUGUUGAGAUUCACUGAGAGUCCAGUUUAAUUCCUCUAUUCAUGGGAACUACUCUGGUAACUUCUGUCCUCUGCACUGGGACUUGGCCUCUAAAUUUUUCUCAACUCAUCUUUCCACAAACUAUUGGCAUGUUAACUCAGACUUAUUUACUGUCCCUAACCUAGUUUGAUGGCCCGUUGCCUUGGAUAAAAAAUUACAGUUCAUGUAAGUGACUAGUGAAGCACAUUGGGCCUAUAGUUGGUAAUUAUGGCCAUUGUGAAAUAAGCCAGCCAAGAGGAAUUCAUAGCAGAGGUAGUUGGAUGCAGUCAGGAAAUAUUUUAGCCAUUCUGAAAAUUAAGAAGCCUGCAUGCAAUUUGAGAAUGCUUAGCUACCAGAAGAGAAGUGGUCAUGAAGUUCUAAAAGUCUCACUCUUCUGUGGUGCUUUAGUAAACUUGGAAAUGUUUAAAAGAGUCAGACAGACUUGUAACGAGUUUAUGAUGAGUCAGUGUUGUCCCUGAUGGAAAUAGUACCAUUGUGUAAGAAAAGACUGCCUGGAGUUCCUGUUGUGGUGCAGCGGAAAUGAAUCUGACUACAAACCAUGAGGUUGUGGGUUCGAUCCCUGCCCUUAGGCAGUGGGUUAAGGAUCCAGCGUUGCUGUGAGCUGUGGUGUAGGUUGCAGACAGGGCUCAGAUCUGGUGUUGCUGUCCUUGUGGCUUAGGCUGGUGGCUGCAACUCUGAUUCCUAGCCUGGGAACUUCCAUAUGCCAUGAGUGCAGCCCUAAGUUG
RNAcentral lists this long non-coding RNA (3831 nucleotides) under Sus scrofa (pig). RNAcentral describes it as "lncRNA (ENSSSCG00000056815.1)". The record is from RNAcentral. Lineage: Eukaryota; Metazoa; Chordata; Mammalia; Artiodactyla; Suidae.